This 1673-nucleotide long non-coding RNA is filed under the name Homo sapiens (human). RNAcentral describes it as "TFIP11 divergent transcript (TFIP11-DT)". The record is from RNAcentral. Lineage: Eukaryota; Metazoa; Chordata; Mammalia; Primates; Hominidae.
AGGGCAGCGUGGGACGCUACGGCGGAUAUGGCUGCAGAGCGGCCGGCUGGGAUCUUAGAUAGGAGGGGUGGAUUUGCAAGGCCUAGAAUAGCUGGGGAGUGGUUUCCCCGCGGAAUCGGCCUCCCUGCCGCUCCUGCUUUGUACUGUGACGCUCAGCCUGUGAUGACUGGUGUGGAAUCCGCUGAGCCACCUUGGCCUAAGGAGACUUUACCACUCUGAGAUUGUAAAUCUGUAAAAUAGAGAUGUAGGAUUAGCCCAUACGGUAGUUGUGGUAAAUACUGUGAGACAAUAAGGGGCCUGGGACACAGCAUUCAAAUGGGAAUAAUGAAGGUCAAGACUGUGAUUCCUGUAUCUUUGACGCUCUCGGUAUAAGCACCGUCGUGGGCACAGGGCAGUGGCCUUUAUGCAGGAGUUUAAGAGGGAAUGAAGGAAUGAAUGGGCAAACUCUGGAGUUCCCAAGUAUUCUCUCCAGGAGCUGUUUCCAUUCUUUUCGUUUCCAGCAGAUUCAAGAGGCAAUUGUUGGAAUGUAAAAAGAGCACGGGACUUGGAGUCAAAUACUUAAGUCUACCAUCAAGUAGUUGUUAAGAAUUAAACAACAAUUUUUGUGUACCCAGUUAAAUGUGGGCUGCUUAGGAAUGAUGACUGUGUCUUAAUGAUCUCUGUAUUCUUAGUGACAUGUAGAAUCAUUGUGCCUGACACAUAGUAUGUACUCAGGAAAGAAAUGGAAAAUGUGGUUUUAGCAUUGAAGGCCGGGAGAGAGGGUCUAACAGACUACAAGCCCUGCCAGGAGCAGAGUAAGGGAAACAGAGGAGAAAAGUGUUUUUAGUCUGUGCCUGAAUGUAUUUACAUCUGUUUGUAGCCCAAAAGCCAAAAGCAUACAUACGCUUGGCUUUUCUGUAGCUAUGUUUAUGGCUUUACAGCAGAUUUUAUGGAGCUGCAAUUACUUUGAUCAUGAGGGACUGAUGCUAGUGGAUUUACUUCACCAAAUGGAACUCACUUUGUGGCUUCUGAAGAAGGGACCUUUGUGGACUGUCAUGGAGUAGUUAAGAGUGCAGGCUCUGAUUUAGUGAUCAGAGUCUGCAUUGUCAGGAAUGGGACAAAGUGAAGUUAUGUGGCACUUGAUAGGAUGCCCUGAGAAGAUUGCAACAUCACCCCUGUGAUAUUCCUGCUGAAGAUCCAUAACCUGGAUGUAAUCAUGAGGAUAUAUCAGACAAACCCACGUAAAGAGACAUGCUGUAUACAAAACUGUAAUCUUAGAAAGUGCCAAGGUCAUGAAAAUCAAAGAUAGACCCUGGAACUGUUCCAAACUGGAGGGGACCAAAGAGGCAUGACAACUAAACACAACACAUGAUUCUGAACUGGAUCUUUUUGCUUGAAAGGAAGUUACAGGGACAGUUGGAAAAGUUUAAAUGGGGCCUACAAUGCCGUGGUAAUGAUGUGUCCGUGUUAAUUUCCUGAUUUUCAUGGUUGCCUGUUAAGUUACAUCAGAGGAUGUUCUUGUUUGCUGGAAAGUAAAUCAAUGUAUUUGGCAGGGGAUAAGGCAUCAAAUGGUCACCUUAAUUUCAAAUUAUUACAGGGAAAAUGUUUCUCUCUGUACUUAAUAACUUUUUUGCAAUUUCUUAAAAUGAAAGCUCUGGAGUAAAAACUUCAAGGAUCCAAAAAAAAAAAAAAAA